UUCUAUAUUUCAAUUGAAGCCUCACUCCUUUUUUCUUCUCUCUGCAAGUACAGUCACAAUAUUUCUUUUACAGCUCAACCGUUUUAGUACAGCUUAUGUUUGCUUUUGUGUUUCUUGAUCUGGGUUUUGAUUUGUUUUGGGUUUUAUGCAGGAUUUAUUGAAAUGAAAGAACAGUGGAGACAGAGAAAGCAAACAACACUCACAAACACAAUCAGUCUGAGACAAGCUAGAGAGCUACUUCUUGUAAAAGAAUUGAAGAAUAAUAGAGACAGAAAGCAAACAACUUUGUACAUGAGAUCUGGGGCUGGAAGCUUUUUAAAGGUUCUUCUUACGAACUUUGACUUUCUUGCUCGGGAUUUUAGGCUUAAUAAGUCAGGAAAGCAUUGGAUAUGCAUGCGUGAUAAUUGGAGAAAUUGGAUGCAUUCUACUGCAUAAUUUUGGGUUCUAGUUUUCUUCAGAAAUCUUGGCAGCUUAUCUAGGGUAUGUAUUCUAAUCUCCAAGUCCUCAUUGAAGUGUUCUUGCUAUAAAGUUUAUUUCUUUGAUAAAAAAUUCAAAACUUUAUUAUUGAUGAUAAUUGGGGUUUUAGGACAUGGUAAUGUCUUUCAGGCCAACUCAAUAAUGACAUUUUUAUUUUUGGUAUCUUUUUCUUGUUAAGUUUUCAUCGACUGUCCAGUUGGAUGAACAGGCUGAACUGUUAGCUUUUGAGCAAGUAUGGUGAAAGUAGCUUAUAAUGACGUCUAGGUCUAUGUUUCGUGUGUUUGGUGUUUGUGUUCUUAAUUCGCCCCUGGGUGGAUCAACCAAAAAGCAUGUCCUCAAGGAUACAUUGCAACCCAAACUAAGAGUGUGUUUGGUAUUGUGGUUGCUGUUGUGGUUGUGGUUUGAAAAAAGUUGUUUUAUAAAAAGUACUUUUAGUUGAGGUUGGUUUGAAAAAAUAUAUGUUUGGUUAAAACUGUGGUUAAAACUGAGGUUGAGUAAAAAGUAGUUUAAUGUGUUUGGUUAAAAAAAUGCUUUUCAAAUUAAGGUUAUAAAAUAAUUAAUAUAUAUAUUGAAUGUUUUUAAUUUA
Molecule: long non-coding RNA, 1063 nt
Organism: Populus trichocarpa (black cottonwood)
Lineage: Eukaryota; Viridiplantae; Streptophyta; Magnoliopsida; Malpighiales; Salicaceae
Exons: 2
Source: RefSeq, a predicted model, not a curated record